CGGGCAGUAGCUCAACGGUGGAGCCCCUUCGUACGCGGGAAGACCUGGGUUCGAUUCCCGGCUGCUUAC
Transfer RNA from Toxocara canis (dog roundworm), 69 nucleotides. It matches the Rfam family "tRNA". Rfam says of the family: Transfer RNA (tRNA) molecules are approximately 80 nucleotides in length. The record is from Rfam. Lineage: Eukaryota; Metazoa; Nematoda; Chromadorea; Rhabditida; Toxocaridae.